This 549-nucleotide long non-coding RNA is filed under the name Olea europaea subsp. europaea. Lineage: Eukaryota; Viridiplantae; Streptophyta; Magnoliopsida; Lamiales; Oleaceae. The record is from RNAcentral.
GAGAUAAUAUAUUAACAUAUUCAACGACAACUUGAAUAAAGUUUAAUGGCAACUGAAUAUAUUUCGAAAAGUUCAGUGUAAUUUAAAAAUAAAAUUAAAAUUAAAGUUCAACUAUAACGGAUAAACAUUUGUGAAAGCUCUAUAGCAAGAUGGAUAUUUAACCUGAAAGUCCACAAGAAGUUCCAAUACUGUAAUUGCCAUCCUUUUAACCCCACAGAAAAUAAACAAAAUAAAAUCAUCGGUAUAAUCUUUCGCACAUUUGCUAGUUAGAUGGCAAUCACAUGAUUUUAAAAGGAUUUAUCGGCAUGGAACCCAAAGAAAUGAGGAAAUUGGAUCCAUUAUUACCAGGGACAUCUGUAAAGAAUAAAUGCUCAGAUACUUGUGCAAUGUCUAAAAUAGUGACAAAAGAAUUUCAAUCAAAUUUGCUUAUCUGUUGGAGCUGUAAUGCCUUCAAAAGCGCUGGCUCGAGUCAUGUAGGUGCAUUACUCGACCUCGUGUCUCCUCCUAUGUAUGUGUAGAGUCAGAAUNGUCGGCGUACGAAGAAUUGAG